CGCAAGCUCCGCCCCCUCAGACUACACGAGCCGAGGAGCUGCUGCUGCUGCAUGAAGCCUGAUAAUUUCAUGGUGACGGCUUGCUCGGACAGGGCGCCGUGAGACGCACGUUGCGGGACUAUGACGUCACCGGCCCGGCGCCCUGCACGAGACACACAUCGCUAGAUGCACAGGGUGUUCUUCUAUAAAGGUUCCAACUCCAAGAAACAGACAACUUCACUGUUUCACCCUUGGCAUCUCAAGGCCUUCUUCAAAUCUGAUCAAGUAACACAGUAUCCUCAAGCACCUUCUUCAGUGACCGUAGAAGAUGUGUCUUCAGUUUACUCUUGUUUUUUCUGUAGAGAGGAUGGACGAAGAUUUUACUUCUAACUGAAACAUCACCACAUACCAAAUUGCUUCUAGUCAUGGAUCCUGAUGAACUGACAUUAAAGUCAUGAAAAGAUCACAGAGCCGUGUUAAAUGUAUUCUUGCUGAAAUAGGACCCCAGACCAGACUGUGCUCCCCAAUCCCUCAAUGAAAAUAUUGUCUCCGAACAGACCACCUUAACCCGCCUGCAAUAAAGCCAUUUACAAAGAGAUCUCAGAUCUUUGGGGAAGCCCAAUACUUCUACUUACCCUCCUCCUUUUGCUGAAGCACCACUGUCCCUUAAUUGACAGUCUCUCGCUGGCAGCGUGUCUCUCUACAAGCACGCUCACUCUGUAGUUUAACCUGAUUGGCGAUAGCACCAGCCAUCCACCAGUGUUUAGAUACUCCCACGACUGUGAUUGGUGGAUGGCCACACCUAUGUUUGUGGUAGGAGCAUUAGGUCCUACCACUCUGAGAGGUAGAGUGUAAUUGCCUAUGUCUAGGCCAACUUAAAAAUAGUAAAUGUGUUGUCUCUGCUUUUUGGAAGAAAGUGUAACUUUUUAUCACCACUUCCAGUGAGAGAAUUAGAAGUGAGUAUAGGGACUGUACAUCAGGCACUAUAAAUUAAAGUGUUGUUCACAUUGUACAAAUUAAGGGACAUAUUAUCCCACAAAGAAUAAAUAAAAAUGG
Pseudophryne corroboree (corroboree frog) is the source of this 1035-nucleotide long non-coding RNA. RefSeq lists it as uncharacterized. NCBI's taxonomy places the organism in Eukaryota, Metazoa, Chordata, Amphibia, Anura, Myobatrachidae. The transcript is spliced from 5 exons. The record is from RefSeq and is a predicted model, not a curated record.